UUUCCCCACCCACCCUGGUGUCCUGGGGGUUCUGUCCUUCCCUUUGCCCUCUGACAGCUCUCCCUGACUCUCUCCUAGGGCGAAAAGGGCAGCAAGGGUGACCUGGGCCAGCAAGGGGAUGAUGGCUUCAAGGUGUGUGACAGGUUUUGCUCUUUUCCUUCCCCCUGGUCCCUUGUCACCCUGUGUGACAUCCUGCCAUGUUUCCAGGGCAAGCCAGGACCCCACGGUGUCCCUGGGAGGCCAGGACCCAAGGGAAGGCAGGGUGACACUGGCCCCCCUGGCCCACAGGGACACCCUGGAAUUCCUGGGACACCGGGCUUGUCUGGACCCAAAGUAAGUCGAGGGAAGCAGCUGGAGGGGGAUCAGUGGGAUCCCUCCCUCCUUCCCACUCAGGGGUGCAGUUCAGCACAGCAGCAUCUCCCCCCUUGCUUUCCUUCCCUUCUGCACCUCCUCCUUUUGCAGGGGCUGAGAGGCUUCCCAGGCCAGCCAGGCCCCAGGGGCACGCCAGGAAUGCCGGUGAGCAGAGCCACAAACACCCCUCAGCCCAAAAUCUGGGUCCCUCACUCCCUAAAGGUGGCAGUGAGACC
RNAcentral lists this long non-coding RNA (587 nucleotides) under Serinus canaria (Common canary). RNAcentral's name for it is "lncRNA (ENSSCAG00000007087.1)". Lineage: Eukaryota; Metazoa; Chordata; Aves; Passeriformes; Fringillidae. The record is from RNAcentral.